This 253-nucleotide ribosomal RNA is filed under the name uncultured bacterium. RNAcentral's name for it is "partial 16S ribosomal RNA". It matches the Rfam family "Bacterial small subunit ribosomal RNA", at positions 524 to 776 of the family's 1533-position model. The record is from RNAcentral.
UACGGAGAGUGCAAACGUUGUUCGGAUUCACUGGGCGUAAAGGGCACGUAGGCGGCCCGGCAAAUCGAUCGUGGAAUACCGACGCUUACCGUCGGUGCGGCGGUCGAAAAUACCGGGCUCGAGGGCGUGAGGGGUCGCUGGAACUCCUGGUGGAGCGGUGAAAUGCGUAGAUAUCAGGAGGAACGCCGGAGGCGAAAGCGAGCGACUGGCGCGUUCCUGACGCUGAGGUGCGAAAGCUGGGGGAGCAAACAGG